RNAcentral lists this ribosomal RNA (669 nucleotides) under uncultured bacterium. Its description in RNAcentral is "bacterial SSU rRNA". It matches the Rfam family "Bacterial small subunit ribosomal RNA", at positions 335 to 1013 of the family's 1533-position model. The record is from RNAcentral.
ACUCCUACGGGAGGCAGCAGUGGGGAAUAUUGGACAAUGGGCGGAAGCCUGACCCAGCAACGCCGCGUGAGGGAUGACGGCCUUCGGGUUGUAAACCUCUUUCAGUAGGGACGAAGCGCAAGUGACGGUACCUACAGAAGAAGCACCGGCCAACUACGUGCCAGCAGCCGCGGUAAUACGUAGGGUGCGAGCGUUGUCCGGAAUUAUUGGGCGUAAAGGGCUCGUAGGCGGUUUGUCGCGUCGGGAGUGAAAACACCGGGCUUAACUCGGUGCUUGCUUUCGAUACGGGCAGACUAGAGGUAUGCAGGGGAGAACGGAAUUCCUGGUGUAGCGGUGAAAUGCGCAGAUAUCAGGAGGAACACCGGUGGCGAAGGCGGUUCUCUGGGCAUUACCUGACGCUGAGGAGCGAAAGUGUGGGGAGCGAACAGGAUUAGAUACCCUGGUAGUCCACACCGUAAACGUUGGGCGCUAGGUGUGGGGCCUAUUCCAUGGGUUCCGUGCCGCAGCUAACGCAUUAAGCGCCCCGCCUGGGGAGUACGGCCGCAAGGCUAAAACUCAAAGGAAUUGACGGGGGCCCGCACAAGCGGCGGAGCAUGCGGAUUAAUUCGAUGCAACGCGAAGAACCUUACCUGGGUUUGACAUAUGCCGGAAAGCCAUAGAGAUAUGGCC